This 492-nucleotide ribosomal RNA is filed under the name uncultured bacterium. RNAcentral describes it as "partial 16S ribosomal RNA". It matches the Rfam family "Bacterial small subunit ribosomal RNA", at positions 29 to 507 of the family's 1533-position model. The record is from RNAcentral.
AGUGAACGCUGGCGGUAGGCCUAACACAUGCAAGUCGAACGGCAGCACAGUAAGAGCUUGCUCUUACGGGUGGCGAGUGGCGGACGGGUGAGGAAUACAUCGGAAUCUACUUUUUCGUGGGGGAUAACGUAGGGAAACUUACGCUAAUACCGCAUACGACCUACGGGUGAAAGCAGGGGAUCUUCGGACCUUGCGCGAUUGAAUGAGCCGAUGUCGGAUUAGCUAGUUGGCGGGGUAAAGGCCCACCAAGGCGACGAUCCGUAGCUGGUCUGAGAGGAUGAUCGGCCACACUGGAACUGAGACACGGUCCAGACUCCUACGGGAGGCAGCAGUGGGGAAUAUUGGACAAUGGGCGCAAGCCUGAUCCAGCCAUACCGCGUGGGUGAAGAAGGCCUUCGGGUUGUAAAGCCCUUUUAUUGGGAAAGAAAAGCAGCAGGUUAAUACCCCGCUGUUCUGACGGUACCCAAAGAAUAAGCACCGGCUAACUUCGUG